Long non-coding RNA from Lactuca sativa (garden lettuce), 1189 nucleotides. RefSeq lists it as uncharacterized. NCBI's taxonomy places the organism in Eukaryota, Viridiplantae, Streptophyta, Magnoliopsida, Asterales, Asteraceae. The record is from RefSeq and is a predicted model, not a curated record.
AGGUCGUUCUGGAUUUUGGUGAGAUGGCGGGGUACAUGUCGUUGAAAGAAGAGAAAGCAAAACAAUUGCAACAACAAAUGAAAGAAGGUAAAGACCUCGAAUUCUCAAGCAUUCAUCUGAUGUUUUCGCUGUUACUGCAUCUCUUCUCCUAGGAAUAUGCAGCAUCUCUCAUACAACUUUUAAGGUUCAUUUUGUACAAUCGGAAAAGUGGGCCUUUUUGGAGAGACAUAUGAGAAACUAGGGUGUUUAAAUCAUCAUAGUUGUUAUUUUAACACAGUCAGACUACUUUAUGGUAUAUUUCUUUUAUUAUAUUGUAUUAAAUCAUCAUAUCUGUAUAUAUGUAUAUUCAUUUUGCUUUGGAUAUUCUUGUAUGCACUUAGUACUUACUACUAUGGUUGUAAUGUUUGAAACUCUGGAGUUGGGGAUUCCGAUUCCAAUUACGUUGUUUUCUACUAGAACUGAUAGAAAGUAUAAUGGACAAGUUUCAAAGUGGUUUAUCAAAAGCAACAAUUCGUACUAACUCUUUAUUUAUUUUUUUGUCUAGAUACUCACGGGUUGGCCUGGUUGUAAGUUGUAACCGAACCCCGCGGAGCGGGGUAUCCCAGCUAGUAAAUAAUAUAGUAGUUUUUUUAAGACUUUGAUGAAAAUAUAUUAAGUUUUUAUAAGGUUUUCCCUUUCUGAUUUUUUUACAACACGGAUAUUUCUUUUUCUUUUUGUUUCUUUUUUUUUUCUUUUUUAUUCAAUAUAUUAAAAAUAAUAAAUAAUUUUAUUUAUUUCUUAAAUACUAACUUGGUUAAGUUUUAUCAUUUUUCAUAUAGCAAUUUGUAUAUUGAAAAUAUUAUUCGUUUAAAAUAAUAUAGGCUUUUAUAUUUUUAAGUCAUUUAAAUAAUCGACUACCAAAGGGCCUUUAGCCUAGCGGUAAGAAGUGAUUUUUUCAUUUGAGAGGUCAUGAGUUCAAAUCUCGCUUGAGACAUAAGUGGUGAUAGUUAGAAGUAGAUUAGUUUGUCGUUUCAAAAAAUAAAUAAAUAAUAACCGACUCAUUUAUUUAAAGUCUAAACGUGGAUUCUUUGAUAUUUUGUUUUUUAUUUAAUUAACUAUUUUAUACAAAUAAACGUGUAUAAUUAAAUUCCAUUAUACAUUUACUUGUUUGAGGACAUUGCAGUGUAGCGGAUCGGGAAUACGUGACGUA